GAUGAACGCUAGCGGCAGGCCUAACACAUGCAAGUCGAGGGGUAACAUAGGAAAGCUUGCUUUUCUGAUGACGACCGGCGCACGGGUGCGUAACGCGUAUACAACCUACCUUUUAGCGGGGAAUAGCCCAGGGAAACUUGGAUUAAUGCCCCAUAGUAUAUGGACUUCUCCUGAAGUUUAUAUUAAACAUUUAUGGCUAUUAGAUGGGUAUGCGUCCUAUUAGUUAGUUGGUAAGGUAACGGCUUACCAAGGCAGCGAUAGGUAGGGGUCCUGAGAGGGAGAUCCCCACACUGGUACUGAGACACGGACCAGACUCCUACGGGAGGCAGCAGUGAGGAAUAUUGGACAAUGGGCGAGAGCCUGAUCCAGCCAUGCCGCGUGCAGGAAGACUGCCCUAUGGGUUGUAAACUGCUUUUACAGAGGAAGAACCACCCCCACGUGUGGGGGUUUGACGGUACUCUGCGAAUAAGGAUCGGCUAACUCCGUG
This 487-nucleotide ribosomal RNA is filed under the name uncultured bacterium. Its description in RNAcentral is "bacterial SSU rRNA". It matches the Rfam family "Bacterial small subunit ribosomal RNA", at positions 28 to 507 of the family's 1533-position model. The record is from RNAcentral.